UACGAGUACUCAUGUACUCACCCAAACAUUGAAACAAUGCUAUGUGCCUGAGAUACCCCUAAUUGCAAUAGUUGAUUAACAUAGCUUUUCCAGAUUAAAUCUUAGGUGAAAACAUUAACUAUGGAUUAUGGACAUGGGGGAAGUGCAGUUAGUGGAUGCCCCCUGGAAGACAGAGGCUAAACUUGUCCAGUGCUGUAGUUUCUAUCCUCUCGAACCACUACCAUUCUGAAUUCUGUUAUUGCUCUUCCUGGUCUUUUCAGUCCUCCUUCCCUGUUCACCCUCUUCAAAUAUUUGUCACAUAAGUCAACCAUCUGAAACUGUCAAACUUCCUCCAUCCCCACUACUUAAGCCAUGUCACUUCCUUCUGGCACUAGAGUUCCCUGAGAGGGGUAUCCCCUGAAGCAUUUCUGAGAAGAUUCCUGGAAAAACCCUGCUGCUACAUUUGGAAAGAGAAAGAAACAUCUGUCAUCUGUGCAGCAGUAGCCUUGUCUUAAGCCUGGUCUACACUACAAUUUUAGGUCGAAUUUAGCAGCAUUAUCUUGAUUUAAUCCUGGAUCCAUCCACAUGACGAAGCACUUUUUUCGACUUAAAGGGCUUUUUAAAUCAAUUUCUUUACUCCACCUCCUACGAGAGGAUUAGUGCUGAAAUCAGCCUUGCUGGGUCAAAUUUGGGGUAGUGUGGAUGCAAUUGGACAGUAUUGGCCUUCGGGGAGCUAUCUCAGAGUGCUCCAUUGUGACCGCUCUGGACAGCGCUCUCAACUCAGAAGCAGGCCAGGUAGACAAGAAAAGCCCCGUGAACUUUUGAAUUUCAUUUCCUGUUUGGCCAGUGUGGUGAGCUGAUCAGCACAGGUCACCUGGCAGAGCCCAUCAGCAGAGGUGACCAUGGAGUCCCAGAAUCUCAAAAGAGCUCCAGCAUGGACCAAACAGGAGGUAUGGGAUCUGAUCGCUGUAUGGGGAGAUGAAUCCAUCCUAGCUGAACUCCGUUUCAGUAAACGAAAUGCCAAAACAUUUGAAAAAGUCUCCAAGGGCAUGAAGGACAGAGGCUAUAACAGGGACUCGCAGCAGUGCCAUGUGAAAAUUAAGUAGCUCAGGCAAGCCUACCAAAAAAACAGAGGUAAACGGCCGCUCCUGGUCACAGCCCCAGACAUGCCGCUUCUAUGAUGAGCUGCAUGCCAUUCUAGGGGGUGCAGCCACCAGGACCCCCAACCCUGUGAUUUGACUCCGUCAAUGGAGUAGGACACAACAUGGAAGCGGGUUUUGGGAAUGAGGAAGAUAGUUCACAGUAAGGAAGCAGAGAAACCGGUUUCCCCAAUGGCCAGGAUCUGUUUCUCACCCUGGAUCUGGAGCCAGUAACCCCCGAACCCACCCAAUGCUGCUGCACAGACCCGCCAGGUGGAGAAGGGAUCUCUGCUGCAUAUGUUUCUCCUUCCCAGAAGCUAGCAAAGAUUAAAUGGAAAAAAACGCAUCUGGGAUGAAAUGUCCUCUGAGCUCAAGCUGUCCUCCCACACUGACAGAGCACAACACAAUGCGUGGAGGCAGACAAUGUCAGAGUGCAGGCAAGCACAACAUGAACACACGGAGAAGUGGCGGGCUGAAGAUGAUAGGUGGUGUCAACAUGCUGACAGAGGCAGGAGUCAAUGCUCAGGCUGCUGGAGCAUCAAACUCAUAUGCUCCAGCGUAUGGUUGAGCUGCAGGAAAGGCAGCAGGAGCACAGACCACCGCUACAGCCCCUGUGUAACCAACCGCCCUUCUCUCCAAGUUCCAUAGCCUCCUCACCCAGACGCCCGAGAACGCAAUGGGGGGGGCCUCCGGCCACCCAGUCACCACCCCAGAGGAUUGCCCAAGCAACAGAAGGCUGGCAUUCAAUAAGUUUUACCGUUUUUAAGUUUUAAAGUGCAGUAUGGCCUUGUUCUUCCCUCCUUCCCCACCCCUCCCGGGCUACCUUGGCAGUUAUCCCUCUAUUUGUGUGAUGAUUUAAUAAAGAAUGCAUGAAUGUGAA
Gopherus flavomarginatus (Mexican gopher tortoise) is the source of this 1998-nucleotide long non-coding RNA. RefSeq lists it as uncharacterized. The record is from RefSeq and is a predicted model, not a curated record. The transcript is spliced from 2 exons. NCBI's taxonomy places the organism in Eukaryota, Metazoa, Chordata, Testudines, Testudinidae.